Molecule: transfer RNA, 91 nt
Filed under: bacterium
Lineage: Bacteria
Also listed under: 6 other names
Description: tRNA-Ser
Rfam family: tRNA
About the family: Transfer RNA (tRNA) molecules are approximately 80 nucleotides in length. Their secondary structure includes four short double-helical elements and three loops (D, anti-codon, and T loops).
Source: RNAcentral
GGAGGGAUGGCUGAGCGGCUUAAGGCGGCGGUCUUGAAAACCGUUGUGGGCUGAUACCCCACCGUGGGUUCGAAUCCCACUCCCUCCGCCA